Long non-coding RNA from Cololabis saira (Pacific saury), 1485 nucleotides. RefSeq lists it as uncharacterized. The transcript has 3 exons. The record is from RefSeq and is a predicted model, not a curated record. NCBI's taxonomy places the organism in Eukaryota, Metazoa, Chordata, Actinopteri, Beloniformes, Belonidae.
GUGAUUCAUAAAAUAUUCAUAAAAGAGUUUCACGGCAAUCUUGUGUUAUUUAGACGCUGCAUCGUCUGUGUCCCGCGAGUGCCCCCGUUCACUACAGUUAUAUAUGGGGAAGCGGCUCGCAAAAAACCCCCUAAUAUCUUCCCGAAGGACUCCAAAUGACACCAAACUUGCCUGGGAUGUUAAUGGCCUCCAGGCAGGUUUCACCGUUAAGCAGCUGCCCUGGAUGACACCUGUGAGGGAAACAGGAUGUGCAGCUCACCUGGCGGGCCGCGUGUCAGGGAUGUCUCGGUUGAGAGGCAGCCGGUCGCUGAGGAAAGCGUUGUAUCCGUAUCUCUGAAACAACAUCUCGGCUUCUUUUUGCUCCUCUUCAGACAGAUGAUCGCCCCACUUGAUGAACAGAUAAGAGUUUGGCAUCCCCUGACCCCUGAUGGAUUCAUUGUGAUGGGCCCUCUGGAGUCUCUGCGAGUGGAUGUGGACUUCUCUCUUGAUGGAGCCGAGGUACAGCAAGGCCGAAACCGCCACGACGAGCACCAGAGAUCCUUUGAACCAGCUAUGCCUCAUUCUUGUUCUGCUCUGCAACGGUUUUACUAAACUGAAAACAAAGGUGGAGGAAGUUUUGCAUUAAUCCAGGUGAUUGCAACCCCUUAUCUGUCUCUCCACCCCUUCCCUGCAAGCAAGUACAGUAUACAAACACAGACGUUUAGGCACCACAGCUCCCUCAACCUCACUCAAGGUUCCAGCCCCUCUUCAGUCAUCAGACAACACCUGGGGCACAAGGUGUGCAGCAUCAACAGAAGGUGCCUUGAGGGAAAGAGAACCAGAAAUCCCCAGCAGGUAACAGGAACAGGACUGACAGACAGGUCUUAUAACCCUGCUAAAAACACACCAAUGAAGUUGAAGGUUUGAUCAGGUUCUAUCUGCUCAUCCAGUCCAUGCCAGGUUUUCUUUUUAUCUUAUCUGUAGCUUUCUUCUGCAGUGUCAAAUAAAGAAGUUAAUGAAUUUAGUGCAGUUUUUGUACGUUCAAACAUUUAAACAAAAAGGGCCUUGCACCAGUAUAUCCUCAGCUAUCUGAUAGAUAUGUAUUUAUUGUACCCUUGGGUAAAUUAGGUUUACACUGAGUGCUUCCUCAUACAAUCCGUUCUUGUAAUCCAAGUAAAGCAUGUCGAUCUUUGCUGUUAAAGUGAUUUAAGCACAGAGAAAGUAUUUCCAUGGACUGUUUUACUUACCUUGAGUAACUUUCAACCCCCUUUUCAGGCACAGAAGAAAAAAAAAGCUGCCACCUUUGAUGUGCAUCAUCUUAAAUUAAGUCACUAUAUAACAAAAAUAAAAAAUCUCUGUUGCAUGGUCAACAUGCAACAGAGACCAGUUCAAUAACAUUGAACUGGACUGGCUUUCAAGUCAUUACAGCACCCCCCACUGACAUGGAAGAGUAUUCAAUGACAGCAGCAGAUUUACAGUAAUAUUUGGGAGACUAUUUAGGUAAAA